GAUGAACGCUGGCGGCGUGCCUAAUACAUGCAAGUCGAGCGAACAGACGAGGAGCUUGCUCCUCUGACGUUAGCGGCGGACGGGUGAGUAACACGUGGAUAACCUACCUAUAAGACUGGGAUAAUUUCGGGAAACCGGAGCUAAUACCGGAUAAUAUAUUGAACCGCAUGGUCCAAUAGUGAAAGACGGUUUUGCUGUCACUUAUAGAUGGAUCCGCGCCGCAUUAGCUAGUUGGUAAGGUAACGGCUUACCAAGGCAACGAUGCGUAGCCGACCUGAGAGGGUGAUCGGCCACACUGGAACUGAGACACGGUCCAGACUCCUACGGGAGGCAGCAGUAGGGAAUCUUCCGCAAUGGGCGAAAGCCUGACGGAGCAACGCCGCGUGAGUGAUGAAGGUCUUCGGAUCGUAAAACUCUGUUAUUAGGGAAGAACAAAUGUGUAAGUAACUAUGCACGUCUUGACGGUACCUAAUCAGAAAGCCACGGCUAACUACGUG
RNAcentral lists this ribosomal RNA (497 nucleotides) under uncultured bacterium. Its description in RNAcentral is "partial 16S ribosomal RNA". It matches the Rfam family "Bacterial small subunit ribosomal RNA", at positions 28 to 507 of the family's 1533-position model. The record is from RNAcentral.